CGGCCAGCAGGCGGGGCCUCUACAAGGCUCUUUACAACCUGCUCAUAUUCGUGUCUUUGCUCCCAUCUCAGCUCCUGCGCCCCCUUGUGCGAAGGAGACCCUUCUCCUUUUCCCUUCAAGCUCCAUUUCUUGUUUGCACUUAAAGUGGCAUUCUUGAUUGUUGUAUGUUUUAUUGUUUCAUAUGUUGUAGCUUAGUUCAUACCCCCAAAACUAAAAUGUCAGCUAGAAGAGAGGAAGGGCCUUGGUCUGCCUUGUACCCCGCCAUCCAUACCGCUCCCCGACCAGUGUCUUAAAAAAGGGGGGCGGGGGGGGGGGGAAAUCUCUACCAGCUGAGCUGCCUCAAUCCUUUUUAUUUUUUAUUUCAGACAGUAGCUCUCCAAGUUGCCCCGACUGGCCUCCAAUUUACAGUCCUCCUGCCUCACUCUCCCAAGUCGCUGAGAUUACAGGCAUGAGCCACCAGGGUUGGCUAGAGCAUUCAGUGACUCUUAUGCAGUCAGUAAGUGUGAAUGAAGGAAGAAGACACUCAGCCUCACACACUGCUUAUGGACAGAGCAGAAAGCUGGACUCUGAGCAAGUAGGGCGAGGCUCACCUGGAGGGUGAGACCUAUACAAUGUAGGCACUGGUUAUUCAGAAAGGCUCCUCAGACAGGUGGGAUUAGGCAAGACCCUUAAUAAUAGGUGAGGUUUGAGGGGGAAGAGAGCUUUCCAGAGGGGAGCAAUGGGGGAACAGGCAGAGUUGUGGAAGGGGCAUGGAAUGUUGAGACCGCCAAGGGGCCCUUUGGAACUGACAUUGGGGAAGGAGGUGGUUAGAAGAUGGUUGGUGUGAUUGCAGAGAACCCUAAACACCUGUGUUGUGAGGGACCCUUGCCUCUGAGGAAGUUUUUUUGUUUUUGUUUUUGUUUUGGGGCGGGGGGUGCUAUGGAUUCAACUCUUGGGCACUUCACCAUUGAGCCACAUCCCUAGCCCUAUUUUCACUGAGUUGCUUAGCGUCUCACUUUUGCUGAGGCUGGCUUUGAACUGAGCCGCUGGUAUUACAGGUGUGUGCCACAGCAGCCAACUUAAGGAGAUUCUUGAGCAUAGUUCUUGAAAAUAGUAAAGUGGUAUUCUUGUUGGUAAACACUGAUUUAAAAUAACACACUAAGGUUGGGGUUGUAGCUCAGUGGUAGAGCACUUGCCUAGCACAUGUGAGGCACUGGGUUCGACCUUCAGCACCACAUAAAAACAAAUAAAGGUAUUUCAUCCAUCUACAACUAGAAAAACAAACAAACAAAAAAAAAUAAAACAACACACUAAAUGGGAAAGGAUAUAAACACACUGUUAAUAGAAAAGUAAUUCAAGUAACACAUUUAAGCAAAUAUGAAAAAAAUGCUUGACCAUCUCAGUAAGAAAAAUGCAAAUAAAAAUUAAAGUGGAAUUCUAUUUUUUAAACGUCAUGUUGGAAAUGAUACAUGUUGUGGAAAAAGACAUUCUUGUUCAUUGGUGGGGGUAAUAUAAAAUGAUUCAUUCUCUAGAAGGGAAAUUGCAUGGAAAUGGAAGGAGACCCUCAUCGUUAUAGAAAUUACAUAUAAGAGGAAGUGAGGGGAAAGGGAAAAAAAAACAAGGGAGAGAAAUGAAUUACAGUAGAUGGGGUAGAGAGAGAAGAUGGGAGGGGAGAGGAGGAGGGAUAGUAGAGGAUAGGAAAGGCAGCAGAAUACAACAGACACUAGUAUGGCAGUAUGUAAAAACGUUGGAUGUGUAACCGAUGUGAUUCUGCAAUCUGUAUACCGGAAAAAAUGUGAGUUCAUAACCCACUUGAAUCAAAUGUGUGAAAUAUGAUAUGUCAAGAGCUAUGUAAUGUUUUGAACAACUAAUAAUAAAAAAAAGAUUCAUUCUCAUUGUAAGCAAUUUGGCAAUUUAAGCUAUUAGAACUUAAAUGUUUAUAUCUUUGACCUAACAAUUCCA
This 1941-nucleotide long non-coding RNA is filed under the name Marmota monax (woodchuck). The record is from RNAcentral. Lineage: Eukaryota; Metazoa; Chordata; Mammalia; Rodentia; Sciuridae.